ACCACCACUGCCUCGUGAACAAGUCCUGGGUGCCUGGUGCCUCCUCUGCAGCUCUGCUCCAGUGACACCCUUAGGAGGAGAUCCCUGCCAAACCAGACAAUGGAGGGAGGAGGAGAGAAAACUUCCCUCGUAAGAGUUGCCUCCUGUGCGAGGGGGGAUUUGGGAUGCCCACAAUGCAAAGCGGUGCAGUCAGCUUCACGACAAGAACCAGUGUUUAAAAGGACUUUGCUGCUGGCCCAGGAGAAGCUGGAUGAAGAGAAUCUAAAGAGGUCUGCUGGGAGAAGCCAGCCUGAGGUCUGUCCAGUUACAGCUGGACUUGGAUGCCCUGGAAGAGGAUUGAACUUUUAAGUAACCUGGCUGGAGGGCUAGGCCAUGGAAGACCCAGACAGAGGCAACAACCAAGGAGAAGGCCCAGCAACACCACACUCACAAGGAAGCACCAGCCAGCGAGAUGCUUCUGUGGCAUAUGAGGCUCGCUUGGGACGGGACCUACAAACAUACAUGCUAUGGACAUUCAGGGACUUAUGAUCAUUAGUGGGGACAGAACUCAGGUCCUUCUGCUCCAAAAGCAUAGCCCCUUCCCUGUGUCACGAACUAAUGGAGAGUGUCCCUUUAAGUGGAGCAGCAAACGGUUUAUGAGACAGACUUGUGCAUGUCUAGCAUUCCACCCAGUAAAGGAGCAGGGAUGCAUGCCUAAAAGCUAGCAUGUUACAACUUAAAGUUGAGAUUUUAUACUUCACAAGAAUCACAAAUUCAGAGCUGAGGCUCCUACCUUAAUCUCCCCUUUGCCCCCUUUUGUACAAUUGUGGGAAUGGGAUGUUUCUUUACCUGAUCACAAACUCUGGGCAUCGUUCCAUACCAUUCAGCAUAUUAUAAGAGAAUAAAGAGCUGAUUUCCCCCCCAGGCCCGUCCAGCUAUCUGUACAUAUGUAGCAUUUUGCAUCACUUCACAUCUGCUGUGUGAUUGUGCAAUGAAAUAUCCUUGCCACCAUAACAAACUGCUUGUAUUGUGUCCCGACUUCAAUUAAUAGAUUUUCCAUACGUUCCCAUGCAGCUGUGCAGAACAGCUGGCCAUGCUGCUUUCACUGUGCAGAUGCCAGUCAUGCCUGUAUUUCUGCUUGUCAUUGCUCAGCCCUGGGGGAGGAAGGAAUGCUCUGUGGGCGAGCAGCUCUCCCAAGAGAUGUCAGAAGUGAUGAAACCCUGGCCAGUUUUUGGUUUCUUAAAGACCUAUUUAUCUGCUUUGGCCUUCUGCAGUCAUCACUGUACCUGGGGCUAUUGCUCAGUACAACUGGAGCCACAGUCUGUGUAUAUUCUGUUAACUUUCAAAAUAUUGCAGUAUUUGUUCUGUCCCUGGGAAUGGCUUUGGGCCACUGUCAGUUGUGAAGAGCUCUCUCCAAACUGAAUUUCCAGCUGGUGCUUUCUGUAGCUCACCAAACUCCUGCAACACAUGAGCUGUCGGCAAUUCUAAGAGAGCACAUCAGCUCCACCCCAAAUCUGAGCCUCUCCCAUCACUGUUCAUUGGUGUGUCCAGCUGUAACUGUCCAUCAUGAAACAUUUGAUACAUACUGAAAAAUGGGGAAUUGUGGGAAAACAUAACACCUUUACAACGGAGACCGAAAAGGAAUCGCAUGCUGGUUGACACAGCCUCCCCCACCCCCAUUCCCUCCCAGUGGGAGACCCAUGCAGAUGGGCUUUAGAGCAAGAGAUAUACAAAGCAAAGUUAUGAAUUUAUUACUUGAUAACUGUGCAGAGCAAAAAGACCAUUUGAAACACUAGGGCCUCCAGGAGGAAACUGGGAAAGGUGUAACGUGUGCGUGGGGCGUUUAAAAACAAGAGUAUUUGUCAACUGGCUUAUUGCACUGGGAAGAGGGGCAGAAAUUAAUUUGCUUCCCAAGAUACCGUUUCCACAAGCUCACCAUUGUCAAGCGGCUCAUACAACAGAUGACUCUGGGACUCACCUGGCGGCAUCAAAGAAGCCAGAGGAUAGAUGACAAGUCAUCAAAGUUAGCAAGAUGAUCUCUGACACCGAGGAAAUGGAGCUCAGCGAGACUGAAAUGCUGACAGGCAGAGCCUUGAGAGGCAAGCAAUGGAAACACAGAAUUUCUUAAGACAAAGGCUUUUAGUCUUCUACUCUCGUGUCUGUAACUGAAAAGGCUUCGCCCUAGUUAGGCAAGUCCAGGGGCAGGCUAAGACCUAGGGAUAUUUUAAUACCAUUUUUCUUGAGUUUCAUUGGAUAUUCUCAUACAUUUGGGAUUUUUAAAAACACUUCUGGGUCUGUGGCUGUCAGUGAGCUAAUCUAGUACAGUCCAUAGCAAGCAAAACAACAGGCCUUUGGCCUCUGAGGAGAAGCAAGAAGAAGAUCUAGUCCCAAAUCCAGCCUUUGUUCCUAGUUCAAGGCCUACACAAGGAGCCCUCCUGAAGGGCUCUCUGUGCUCUGGCAGUGGCUGACUCAAAGAACAGGAAAAGCCUAAAGACUACAGGUAAGCCACGAGUCUGAAAGAAGGAAAAAGUUGAUAAGGUCCCAAAACAUGUGCUUAGUUGAAUCUCUUGGUGUGCAAAAUUGGGCUACAAGUCUACAGAGAACAGGCUCUCUCAUGAAAUAGAUGGUCCAUUGGUCAGUUAUUUCAGCACUUCAAAUUCUGGUUGAGGACAGAGUGCAGGAGAGUUAAAAGUAUUUUUAAAAGGGAAUCCAAUUAUUUGAACCUCAAAGAGUUGGUUUUGGCCAGUUCUUAUUUCACCAUAACUAGUUCUCCUAGUCACAUCAAUGACAGCAUAAUUUUAUUCAUAUCUACUUCCUCCUGCUGCUUCAGUCUGACCAUCUCUGCUGCCCAGUGAAGGCAUUGGUGUUGGCCAGAGCUGGAGGAAGCCUAGCUCCUUUCCUCCCUGCUAACAGAAUUCACUCUCCAGUACUUGUUCUACGAGUAAUCAGACACCGCACAGAUCAUUCAAGCACCAAUCAGCCUACUCCUCUGAGAUGGGGCAAAUUUGGUUGUCUACCUUAUUUUCAGAGUAGCAUAGUUAAAGUGCAGGAAAGGUUCAUUAGUAGCACUAUUACAGCAGCACCUAGAGGCCCCAGCCAAGAUCGGGGACACCUGGUGUGAGGCACAUAGUAAGAGACAGCCCCUGCUCUGAAGAGAUUACAUUCCACAUAGACAAAGGCUGGGAAGAAAGGUAGGUUUGGCCUUGUUGCAGCCACAGGUGAGACAGAGGUUGGGCUUCUUCAUAAUGCAAUGAUAAUACGCAGCAUGCUGACUGCCUGGGAAAGGAAUUCACUGACCCAUGCAUUGCAAUGCCUGAUCUUUCACCCUUCUACCCUUGUAUGAUCAUAACCCACAAUCCCCCCCUCCUUUUAAAAGGAGAUAAAAAUUUAGUCAUUGGUCAACUUUUCUACCUUGCUUUUUCUUUUGAUCUCAAAUGCUAAUAGGAAAACAAUUGGGAAACCCAGUAAAUUAAAAGUUAAAUGGAUUCAUGUUGUCUUGAAAUGGCAAAAAUAUUCCAACUAAGUCACCCUUUGAUACCAUCUAGCACCAAGGACAAUCGAUUACCCAGAUGAAGGAUCUUUUAUUGGCCCAGGAGCUGGAUAUACCAAACUACUCAACAAAAAGUUCAGAAGAAGUGGAAUCCAGUAUUAUGCUCAAUUAUAGAUUGUGUUCUGCUAGUGAAUUGUAGUUGCCAUAAUCUAUGCCACCCUGAGACUUCAUCAUUCAGACCCAACUCAAGGAAUGGUGUGCAGCCUUGUAAUUAAAGCCAGGAAUUUAGAGUCACGCUCCCUGGGCUCUAUUUCUGACCAUCACUGACUUGAUGCAUUACCCUGGCCAAGAUACUUCACCUCUUUGUGUCUCAGUUUUCUCUCGUGUGUAAUAAGAAUGACAAUAAUUACUACCCUGCAUUCAAUUUUAAAGCUUAUUGUUUGUACAGUGUUUUGUACAUCCAAAGCCUGUGUAAAUGCUAAGUAUUAUUGCAGUUAUUACCUUCCUCAGAAGGAGAUCAUGCAGUUUCAUAAUUAGUGUUUGUAAAACAAUCCUAGAUCGCCAGAUGAAAUGUGCUAGAGAUAUGCAAAAGAUGAAAA
Chelonia mydas (Green sea turtle) is the source of this 4068-nucleotide long non-coding RNA. RefSeq lists it as uncharacterized. The transcript is spliced from 3 exons. Lineage: Eukaryota; Metazoa; Chordata; Testudines; Cheloniidae. The record is from RefSeq and is a predicted model, not a curated record.